UACUGAAGAAAUGCAUUUAUUUUGUCAGUACUAUUAAUUCUUCUGCACAAAAGUCAAAACAAUAAAUAAAGUUGGCCAGUUCAACUUAUCAAAGUUAAGUCACAUACCUUUUUUACAUACCAUCUUUUUUAAAUGAUGCUGGUAAUUACAUAUUUGGCUUAAUUAUGGCAAUUUAAAGAAAACAUAUUAUUAUUAUUUAAAUAUUAUUAUUAUUAAUAAUAAUGUUAGAGAAAGAAGAAACCCAAAAAGAGCAGUCCCCACAUUUCCAUCUAAAGUGAUACAAAUUGUUUUGCAGAUGUUGAAUGUGAUAAAGAUGUAAUAUAUAGUAAUAAAUAAAUAAAUUAAGGUUAUAUUAAUAAAAAAUCACAUUGGCUAUUACAUUAUCCAGGGCAACAUACAGUUUGUACAUUCAUGUUAAGUUGACUAGCCAGGAAAACCACACUCAGUCUUAGUAAGUGCGUUUUUUCUCAUUAAUGUAGCCAUCAGCAGAAGUCAAUGCUAGAAGGUGAAUUCAUGUAAGCAAACACAUUUUGCCUAGUACUUGACAUGGAAUGAUCUAAUACAAAUUAAUAUAUUUAAAAAUACUGUACACUAAGCUUAACUUGCGUUGAACUUUUUGUUUUCUUAUUUGUUUGCUAAGCCACUAACAGUUUCAUUAUGGGUAUACUUUCAUUGGUUAAGACAUUCUGGAUGACCACAUGAAACAUAUAUGGCCUACUUCUGUCAAAAACAGGUGUUAGCAGGUUUAAUUAACUUCAGAGCUGUUAUUUGUUCAUCCACUGUAUACAAGCAAACAAUUUGCCUGUUUCACAUUGAAAUUAAACUUGUUAGGUAGUAAGAGGAGAUUACAUUUCAUAUGAUGUCCUUAUCUGGGGUCUGUUGAUCCUUAUCUGUGGAAACAAGUGAUGGUUUAGUUAUUUUGUGUUCACAGGUGCUUGUCGGUGUGUCUAUGUACACGUGUAUGACCUCACCAGGAAUAACUUCAUAGUGUGGCUAUAGUGUGAGGGUAUUCUCCUUGCAGAUACAAUGAUCAGGAUGUUAUCCAUCUAAUAAAGUAGUUAUAGUUAACUCACAGGCUGGUUGUUUGACAGGUUGUUCAUUUGGAUGGAAGGCUGUGAGGGGUAGUACUGUGGAGGGUUCUCCAGGUAUGGAUCAGGGUUGUAAGAUGGAAGAGAACUGCUGGGCUGUUGGUACAUAUUUGACAGCCCAUGGUUGUAUGCUGGGUUAUCAUGCGCCCCUAGGAAAAGAAAUUGACUUAAACAAUAAAACAAUCUCUGGUAUUCCUGUAUUUCAUUUGCACAUGCAGACUUGCACCUUAAACUUGCACUUUAACCCUGCCCUCACUACACAUUGCACAUUUAGAACUGCCACUGUACUUGCAUUUUGCAAUUGUUACGUACACAUCUACCUCGGGAAGCUCAUUGCUGCAAUCCCUGCAUUUCAGUUGCACAUGCUACCCCAUUCCUUCAAUUUGCCUCGAUUGCAAAUUUAGAAUGCCGUUGAGAAUGAUACUUAAUACCUGUAAAUUUUCUGUAAAUUUGUGAAUUUUCCACUGCACAUUUAGAAUUGCCAAAUGUAAGGCAUUUGCAUUAAUUACACACCUAUACAUUCCACUUCUAUAUAUAUACAUACUUGUAAAUAUUUCUGCACUCCCCUAUUUGCGCAACUAUUUGCAAAACAAGACACAAAGUGCGUUUCGUUGUACUGUACUUGUACUGUUCUAUGACAAUUAAGUUGAAUCUAAUCUAAUCUUUUUGACAGCUGAAACAAGCACAUAAAAACCUACAAAUUAUACAAAUUCAAUCAAAGAAUGUACCUAGUUUAGGAGGGUUGGCAGACUUACCACUGGGUGACGGCCAUUCAAAGUCAUCCUCCAGCCACUGGUUAACCAUUUGCCCCUUAGUGUCCUUGUUUCUGUCAAAGGAAAAGAGAGAAAAUUAUAAAUAUGCAGUAUUUUAAUUUAGGGUAACGAUUAUUACUACCGUAUAUUAAAGAUACAUUGAUGUCUCCUCAAAUAUUUUUUCUUUAUUUAUUUAAUUUCUAUAUUUAUAAUAAUUACUUUAUGUGUUAAUUGGUUGAAUUUUUCCACCAAAACACAUACUGUUUAUUUGAAAUGACAAAU
Long non-coding RNA from Esox lucius (northern pike), 2122 nucleotides. NCBI's taxonomy places the organism in Eukaryota, Metazoa, Chordata, Actinopteri, Esociformes, Esocidae. The record is from Ensembl.